UUUUGUUUCGGUACGAUUUCGGUUUGAUACAUAAUGUAUCACGCUGUGCUAAUAACACUAUUAAGACUUAAGAACCUAAGCAAGCAGAAACAAAAAUAGAAUACCUGCUUCAGAACUCAAUAAAAAGUUAUCAUCAACUACAAUUGUUGUUUACAUAUAAGUGGCACCUAGCCAUCCAAAGAUGAAAAUGUCAAAUAUGCUCAUAACUACACAUAGUAUAUGCUAAAGCCUUCCUGCAUCAGAGCUGCACUCCACAAAUUAUCAGCCUAGCUUUGGCCUAAUUCGAUUCCUGGACAAGGAUUAAGCCUCAAACCAGAAACUAAGUUAGCGUAAAAAACCAUUCAAAAAGGGAAUCCAGUAAGCAAAGUUGAGUAUUCUAGUUAUUCAUAAACUUGAAUUGUUCUCUAUGUACAACCUUAUUGUACCGCCUUUUUGCUUGAUCCUUGCAAUGUUUUUUGAUAAUUCUCCCAUUAAUUUCUUAUGUUAUAUCUUUACCUUGAAUAUGACGAAGUAAUUCGGAAAUAUUCUAGAGGCCAAAAGCCCAAAACUUAGAAAUCAUAAUAUGAUGAACUAUAACAUAUUAUUCUCAAUUAACAGCCUUUUGUACCCAAAAAAGAAGCUAUUGGUUACAUAAUACAAACUGAAUAUUAAAGAAUGAAGAAGUUGUGAAUAUGUUGAGAUCAAGCACUAUCAAAAGGAUAUGGGAAGAUUAUUAUAGUGCACACCGCUAAGAAAUAUAGAAUCUUCAGCAAAUUUUAAUGGGUCAAAUUAAAAAAUAGAAGAAAAUUCCUUGUCCCUCACCCACCCAUCAAUAGGUACGUUGCCAAAAAAAGGAUUUACAGUAACUUAUAGUUAUAUAUAAGAUACUAAUUCCUAUUACUAUAAAUUGUUAAAAUACAAACUAAAUAUUAAAGAAUGAAAAAGUUGUGAACCUGUUAAAAAGUUGAACAUCAAAGAAUGAAGGUCAAAAAUGAGGAAACAAGCAGUCACACUUGAGAGUCGUCAGCAUCGAGGUCGUGAAGUCGCCGUGACGAUCUGUUCUUCACUCGCAACACUCGCAGUCACAGACGGCAUGUACUCUGUUCUUCACUUCUUUGUUUGAGAUUUGAGAAUUGAGAGAAACCUAAUUUUAACUUAGAAACAAGGGAAAG
This 1151-nucleotide long non-coding RNA is filed under the name Nicotiana tabacum (common tobacco). RNAcentral describes it as "long non-coding RNA (NTAB_LNC018391)". Lineage: Eukaryota; Viridiplantae; Streptophyta; Magnoliopsida; Solanales; Solanaceae. The record is from RNAcentral.